AUUGAACGACUGGCGGCAUGCCUUACACAUGCAAGUCGAACGGCAGCGAGCCUUCGGGAUGGCGGCGAGUGGCGAACGGGUGAGUAAUACAUCGGAACGUGCCCGAGAGUGGGGGAUAACGCAAGCGAAAGCUGUGCUAAUACCGCAUACGAUCUCAGGAUGAAAGCAGGGGACCGCAAGGCCUUGCGCUCACGGAGCGGCCGAUGGCAGAUUAGGUAGUUGGUGGGAUAAAAGCUUACCAAGCCGACGAUCUGUAGCUGGUCUGAGAGGACGACCAGCCACACUGGGACUGAGACACGGCCCAGACUCCUACGGGAGGCAGCAGUGGGGAAUUUUGGACAAUGGGGGGAACCCUGAUCCAGCCAUGCCGCGUGCAGGAUGAAGGCCUUCGGGUUGUAAACUGCUUUUGUACGGAACGAAAAGGUCUUUUCUAAUAAAGAAGGCUGAUGACGGUACCGUAAGAAUAAGCACCGGCUAACUACGUG
Molecule: ribosomal RNA, 485 nt
Filed under: uncultured bacterium
Lineage: Bacteria
Description: bacterial SSU rRNA
Rfam family: Bacterial small subunit ribosomal RNA
Source: RNAcentral